This is a non-coding RNA of Oncorhynchus mykiss (rainbow trout), 214 nucleotides long. The record is from RefSeq and is a predicted model, not a curated record. Lineage: Eukaryota; Metazoa; Chordata; Actinopteri; Salmoniformes; Salmonidae.
CAAUACAUUUUUAUUUGUAUUUGACAGAACCUGGGCUUAACAAGGGUCUGAACUUGGACCUGUUGUAGACGAAAUUCACCCUCUCCAGAACCCGUUGGAUUAGCGCCAUGAGACGGGUUGAGAGACAGAAAACCCCGAACUACUAACGACCUACAUACAGGAAUAGACAAGAGUCCUUCAAAAGUGCAUGGACCACAGAACAACGCCCCCCCCC